Molecule: ribosomal RNA, 841 nt
Filed under: fungal sp. Q10
Lineage: Eukaryota; Fungi
Description: eukaryotic LSU rRNA
Rfam family: 5.8S ribosomal RNA (bases 153-306)
Source: RNAcentral
GGAUGAGUAGGAGCCUCGGGCAUCCCCAUCCGUGUCUAUUACUCUUGUUGCUUUGGCAGGCCGUGGUCUUCCCUGUGGGCUCUGCCUGCAUGUGCCUGCCAGAGGACCAAACUCUGAAUUUUAGUAAUGUCUGAGUACUAUAUAAUAGUUAAAACUUUCAACAACGGAUCUCUUGGUUCUGGCAUCGAUGAAGAACGCAGCGAAAUGCGAUAAGUAAUGUGAAUUGCAGAAUUCAGUGAAUCAUCGAAUCUUUGAACGCACAUUGCACCCGGUGGUAUUCCGCCGGGUAUGCCUGUUCGAGCGUCUGUAGAACAACAAAUUACCAGGUCUUGGGUUUCGACCCAGGCUUGAUUCUGGGGUUGCGGCAUCGUCUGCAGCCCUAAAGUAAUGUGGCGGCACCGAUAGGUUCUAAGCGUAGUAAUUUCUCCUCGCUACAGAGUCUUUCGGCGCAUUGGGUACUCACUCCCGGCCAUAAAACCCCCAAUUUUAGUUUGACCUCCGAUCAAGUAGGGAUACCCGCUGAACUUAAGCAUAUCAAUAAGCGGAGGAAAUGUGGUCUCAUGACUAUUUCUGGCUGGUUUUUCCAUAAACUCCCAUCUUCAAGCCGAGGAGUGAUUUCUGCUUUUACCGAGUAAAAUUGCCCUGGUAAUACUUUGAGCCGAAUCCGAUCCUUGUUCUCCGGAAUUUAAAAACUGCUUAUUUAACUCUUUUCGCUACCCUAUCUAUUUCUCCAUGUCGAAUCUCAACCAACAACGGCUUUUAACCCGUGGGGUACAUUCCCCUUUAUUGCCCUUUUCCCCUCCCAGGGAUUCCACUUUCGUUAUCUUUAGAAUUUCCAUGU